This 253-nucleotide ribosomal RNA is filed under the name uncultured bacterium. Its description in RNAcentral is "partial 16S ribosomal RNA". It matches the Rfam family "Bacterial small subunit ribosomal RNA", at positions 524 to 776 of the family's 1533-position model. The record is from RNAcentral.
UACAGAGGGUGCAAGCGUUAAUCGGAAUUACUGGGCGUAAAGCGCGCGUAGGUGGUUUGUUAAGUUGGAUGUGAAAUCCCCGGGCUCAACCUGGGAACUGCAUUCAAAACUGACAAGCUAGAGUAUGGUAGAGGGUGGUGGAAUUCCUGGUGUAGCGGUGAAAUGCGCAGAUAUCGGAAGGAACACCAGUGGCGAAGGCGGCUACCUGGACAGAUACUGACACUGAGAGACGAAAGCUAGGGGAGCGAAUGGG